GCGCAGCAGGCGAGAAACCUCCGCAAUACACGAAAGUGUGACGGGGCCGAUCCCGAGUGCCGUCCGCUGAGGACGGCUUUUCCCCAGUGUACACAGCUGGGGGAAUAAGGAGAGGGCAAGCCUGGUGUCAGCCGCCGCGGUAAUACCAGCUCUCCGAGUGGUGGGGACGCGUUAUUGGGCCUAAAGCAUCCGUAGCCGGCUGGGCAAGUCCUCCGUUAAAUCCAACGAUUCAAUCGUUGGGCUGCGGGGGAUACUGUCCAGCUUGGGGGCGGGAGAGGCCGAC
RNAcentral lists this ribosomal RNA (283 nucleotides) under uncultured microorganism. RNAcentral describes it as "partial 16S ribosomal RNA". It matches the Rfam family "Archaeal small subunit ribosomal RNA", at positions 330 to 613 of the family's 1478-position model. The record is from RNAcentral.